AUUCCUUCAAACCCUAGCCGUAAAUUGUAAUCCCAAAAUUUUCAGAAUUCACAUCCUCACCUUCCUCCCUUUGCUGCAAGAAGACGUUAAAUUUGGAUUUGUCUCGUCCUAGCUGUAGUAGACACGCACCUCUACAAUUCUCAUCUUUGUUUUCGCUAAACGAUACUUGGGAGCAUUGCGGAAGCAUUUUGGUGCAAAAGAUGGAAAAGUCGACGAAAGAGAGGCGAAAGCUCAUUUGCAAUUCGGAAAAGCUGACCCCUCUGCACUAUUUGACCAAUUUGGAUCGGUUAGAGGUCUCUAAUGAGUUUGUGUUCUUCAUAAGAGUUAAAGUAGACAUCCUGAGCUUUCCAAUGGUUCAAGAACCAACUCAUUUGGACAUUUCUACACCGAGUUAUGAAGUUUUGAAGUUCAAGGUUGUGGAGUCUGAAGUUUGCACGAAUCGUGCAACACCUUGCACGAAUCGUGCAUAAGUAGAGCAGAAGCAGAUUGUUCCCAGAGAUAUUGCACGAUCCGUGCACCCAUGUUAAGUUGGUUUGCACGAUUCGUGCAAAGGCUUAAAGUUAGAAUCGAAAAUCUGAAGAAAAGGACUAAGGCUUUUGCACAUUUCCUCUUUUGGCCCAACACUCAUUUGUAGGAUGUUUUUAUUUCCUUUUUGAGACUACUAUAAGUACUACUUUAUGAUUCAAAUUAGGUUAUGCAACAUUCAUAUUACUUUUAUUCCUUUUGUGUUGCUUCCUAAAAAAUAGCUUAGAAUCUUUUUAGAGUGGUGUGCUCCAUCUUUUCCACCAUUGUUGGUGAAGUUGAAGCUUUUAAUGUUUGAUUGAACAAGAUCUCUUAUUGAUUAAUGCAAGCUUAUUUAUUGUGGAA
Molecule: long non-coding RNA, 867 nt
Organism: Mercurialis annua (annual mercury)
Lineage: Eukaryota; Viridiplantae; Streptophyta; Magnoliopsida; Malpighiales; Euphorbiaceae
Exons: 3
Source: RefSeq, a predicted model, not a curated record